This 422-nucleotide ribosomal RNA is filed under the name uncultured bacterium. RNAcentral describes it as "partial 16S ribosomal RNA". It matches the Rfam family "Bacterial small subunit ribosomal RNA", at positions 360 to 774 of the family's 1533-position model. The record is from RNAcentral.
AAUUUUUGACAAUGGGGGCAACCCUGAUCCAGCCAGCCCGCGUGUGCGAUGAAGGNCUNNGGGAUNUNAAUCACGUUUGUCAGNNNNNAAAAGGUUCUGGCUAAGAUCUGGAACAGCUGACGGUACCUGCAGAAUAUGCACAGCCUACCUACGUGCCAUCAGCCGCGGUAAUACGUAGGGUGCAAGCGUUAAUCGGAAUUACUGGGCGUAAUGCGUGCGCAGGCGGUUCGGCAAGAAGGAUGUGAAAUCCCGGGGCAUAACCUCGGAACUGCAUUCUUAACUGCCGGGCUAGAGUAUGUCAGAGGGGGGUAGAAUUCCACGUGUAGCAGUGAAAUGCGUAGAGAUGUGGAGGAAUACCGAUGGCGAAGGCAGCCCCCUGGGAUGAUACUGACGCUCAUGCACGAAAGCGUGGGGAGCAAACA